Phyllostomus discolor (pale spear-nosed bat) is the source of this 1824-nucleotide long non-coding RNA. RefSeq lists it as uncharacterized. Lineage: Eukaryota; Metazoa; Chordata; Mammalia; Chiroptera; Phyllostomidae. The record is from RefSeq and is a predicted model, not a curated record. The transcript is spliced from 3 exons.
CCGAGUGUUUGGUACGUAGGUAUCUUCCUUCCCCGGGCGCAGGGUUCCUGGCUUCUUCAUUUACUCCUCUUGAGACUUGAGGGCUUUGGGCGGGUUGGACACAGUCGUGUGGAAGAAAAUCAGUAAAUGCGAGCUCUCCCUCGGGAGGCAGGAUACUGUUGCGCGGGGCCCGAUUGUCCUCCUAACGCUCGCAGUGAGUUUGGCUGAGCCUUUCUCCGGGUGCAGUGUACCCGCUGCACCGGGAUGGAGGCCCCGUUCAUUCCACCAACGUUAACUGACAGCUCACGGUGCACCAAUUACUAAUCCAGUCACUGUGCGCAUAAUUCCCUCUGGGGGGAGAGGUCCGGCCACAGAACCUAGGAAAGUAGAAGGAAGUUCUUCCUCCCCUACAACCUUCAGAUGCAAAUCUCAGGUAUUCUGGGACGCCACCCCCGUCGUGCCAAUGGCUGCACUUGCCACCACUGGAACAAAGUCCAGGCAGCUCACAGGCUGAGAAGAAAAAGGAGGCAACCUCUCCAAGAGAGGCAGGGGCAGAGCAUUCUGCCCAACACUUAGUGACUGACACCCUCGGGCCUUGAAUAACCGAAAUAAAGAAGCAAACCUAGAAAUCACUAUUUGCUUUUGCCCAGCAAUUUGUGACUUUAAAAAUGUCUUCUGCCUCAUGGCGACUCUGUGGGACAGAAAGAGCUGUGGUCUUCUCACCUGACAGAUCAGGAAACUGAAACCUGACCCAGCACAGACUAGCCCUGGUGCCACCGACCUGCGGGAGAACCCUGAGGCCUUCCUCACAGUCCUCCGUCCUUUCCACGAAAUCACACUGGUACUUAGACCAAAUCGUGUCUUUCCGUCAGAGAAAAUGGGCUUCCUUGGCGUUGGUAACCUUUCCAGGUUCUACCUUUCCUAAGGUUCAUCCCCUGAAUUCCAAGAAACCAGGGGCGGAACUGAGAAGAGAGGACCCGGAUGUUACCUGCGUGGGGUGUCACAUAGCACUGAAAAUCGCUGGGACACAACCGGAGACCCGAGCUCAAGCCCUGUCUAGAACAUUCCUUCCCAGGGACUGUCAUUUCUUUCUGGUUCUCCAGCCUGAGUCCCAAUCUUGUGCACCUUCCACCACCCAUUCUCCUUUCCAGAUGCUUCCCAUCCCAAUAGUGAUCUUCAUCACUUUUUGGAGUUCAAUUAGGUGAAGAAGGCUUUUCUUCCGGGAGACAGUCUCCUUUUAAUUUCACGAAGAAAGAGGUCUCUUUGCAAAACCCUUUUCCCUAGAGAGGUAUUGUUCUCCUGGCCUUCCACUCCAGGGAGGAAGGACCGGAGGUGUGCAGACCUCGUGACCGACUUUGGGACGGGAGAUGACAUUCCACCUCAGCAAAUGGGCUCCUUCCUAGCUAAAGGGGGAACGAUACUGGCACCGUCCUUUCCGGGGUUACUGCGAGGACUAAACAAAAUAAUGAAUAAGGGCAUGAAACAGGGUGGCCGCUCAGGAAAUGGCAGCUCUGGCUAUUCUCUCUCGCCCAGAGUUCGGAUCCUAGGACUCUCCCAAGCAAGGAGAGGGAGGAGGGCGCACCCUCGGCAAAGAUAAGGCUGGAGAGGGCUCGGGGUACUCAGCAGCCCCGAAGCCACGGCUGAUGCCCAGGAUGAGCUUUGCAAAGGGAAGGAACUUUCCUUUUGAGCCCAUUUUUUUCAACCUGGGGCAAACCACGGGUCACCACGGCUUCCACCCUCCCCGCAGUCCCGGUCGCCCGUGCGCACGGCUCCCGUGGCGGCCUCGGACCCAGCCACGGUCUCUCACCUUCGUCAUGUCUGCGGCGAAGGAACCUCGACUCCAGA